This 404-nucleotide ribosomal RNA is filed under the name Actinomycetes bacterium. RNAcentral's name for it is "Actinobacteria bacterium partial 16S ribosomal RNA". It matches the Rfam family "Bacterial small subunit ribosomal RNA", at positions 355 to 776 of the family's 1533-position model. Lineage: Bacteria; Bacillati; Actinomycetota; Actinomycetes. The record is from RNAcentral.
UGGGGAAUAUUGGACAAUGGGCGCAAGCCUGAUCCAGCCAUGCCGCGUGAGGGAUGAAGGCCCUAGGGUUGUAAAGCUCUUUCACCGGUGAAGAUAAUGACGGUAACCGGAGAAGAAGCCCCGGCUAACUUCGUGCCAGCAGCCGCGGUAAUACGAAGGGGGCUAGCGUUGUUCGGAUUUACUGGGCGUAAAGCGCACGUAGGCGGACUUUUAAGUCAGGGGUGAAAUCCCGGGGCUCAACCCCGGAACUGCCUUUGAUAAUGGAAGUCUUGAGUAUGGUAGGGGUGAGUGGAAUUCCGAGUGUAGAGGUGAAAUUCCUAGAUAAUCGGAGGAACACCAGUGGCGAAGGCGGCUCACUGGACCAUUACUGACGCUGAGGUGCGAAAGCGUGGGGAGCAAACAGG